This 74-nucleotide transfer RNA is filed under the name Rhizomucor pusillus. RNAcentral's name for it is "tRNA-Val". It matches the Rfam family "tRNA". From Rfam's summary of the family: Transfer RNA (tRNA) molecules are approximately 80 nucleotides in length. The record is from RNAcentral. RNAcentral also lists the same sequence under 1 other name. Lineage: Eukaryota; Fungi; Mucoromycota; Mucoromycetes; Mucorales; Lichtheimiaceae.
GUGCCCAUGGUGUAGUGGUUUAUCACAUUCGCCUUACACGCGAAAGGUCUCCGGUUCGAUCCCGGAUGGGCACA